AGGGUAAUAGCUCAGUGGUAGAGCACAUCCUUGGCAUGCACGAAGUCCUGGGUUCAAUCCCUAGUACCUCCA
This 72-nucleotide transfer RNA is filed under the name Camelus bactrianus (Bactrian camel). It matches the Rfam family "tRNA". From Rfam's summary of the family: Transfer RNA (tRNA) molecules are approximately 80 nucleotides in length. Their secondary structure includes four short double-helical elements and three loops (D, anti-codon, and T loops). The record is from Rfam by way of RNAcentral. RNAcentral also lists the same sequence under 2 other names. Lineage: Eukaryota; Metazoa; Chordata; Mammalia; Artiodactyla; Camelidae.